UACGGAGGGUGCGAGCGUUGUCCGGAAUCACUGGGCUUAAAGGGCGCGUAGGCGGGCCGCCGCGUCCGGGGUGAAAUCCUCCCGCUCAACGGGAGAACGGCCUCGGAUACGGGCGGCCUCGAGGGGGGUAGGGGCGUGCGGAACUGUGGGUGGAGCGGUGAAAUGCGUUGAUAUCCACAGGAACUCCGGUGGCGAAGGCGGCACGCUGGACCCCACCUGACGCUGAGGCGCGAAAGCCAGGGGAGCGAACGGG
RNAcentral lists this ribosomal RNA (253 nucleotides) under uncultured bacterium. RNAcentral's name for it is "partial 16S ribosomal RNA". It matches the Rfam family "Bacterial small subunit ribosomal RNA", at positions 524 to 776 of the family's 1533-position model. The record is from RNAcentral.